UCAGACUUCAAUGACCAUGUUAGGUUUAGGAAUUUUUUGUGCUUUCUGAUGUAACAAAAUGUGAGAUCCAAGUUAUAAAAUGCAACCAGUUGUUAAAGUUAGUUUUGCAGAGAGACACUUGAAAGUGUUUCAAUUACAUCCUAUCAUAGGUUUCUAAAUGUUCAUUAAAAUGUCUCAAUUUUCUACUGGCUAAUUUGUCCUACUAGUAACAGUCGUGUGACAGCAGGAGAAGGGUUUUUGCUUUUAUGCACUGCAAUUAUUAAACACAUUCCUACUACUAUUCCAAAUACUGAAUCUGAGUGUUUAACAUGGAUCUCAGAAUUACUGUUUGCAAGCAUUAAGACUCCCUACAAACCUAAGAAUCAGAUAUGUAUUUUAUCAAUUUUAGAGAGUUACGGACCUUGAAGCAGUGGUGAUCACACAUCCAGAGUCCCACAACAAAUCACAGCAGAGAGACCCCACCACUACCCCCCACACCAUCGUGGAUACCUUAGAGGAGCCUGAGCUGCAGAUACCUAGCAUGAACUGUGAGGAGGAGGAAGGAGUACAUGUGACCAGAGGGUCCCACUAUACUGCAGGCCAGGACCUGUUUGCGGUGCAGGAUGCCCUGACAGUUGAGCACAGCUGCCCCUCCACACCCGUGCAAUGCCGGAGGCCAGAUAAGAGGGAGAAAGAAGAGGACUUAGGAUAACAUGUUUGAAGACAUCCUACAAGCAGGGCUGGGCGGGG
Long non-coding RNA from Mauremys mutica (yellowpond turtle), 729 nucleotides. RefSeq lists it as uncharacterized. The record is from RefSeq and is a predicted model, not a curated record. The transcript is spliced from 3 exons. NCBI's taxonomy places the organism in Eukaryota, Metazoa, Chordata, Testudines, Geoemydidae.